This 406-nucleotide ribosomal RNA is filed under the name Typhlodromus kykladiticus. Its description in RNAcentral is "partial small subunit ribosomal RNA". The record is from RNAcentral. Lineage: Eukaryota; Metazoa; Arthropoda; Arachnida; Mesostigmata; Phytoseiidae.
GGAUAGAUACCCUGCUAUAAACUAAUAUAUAAUAUUAAAUGAUUAUCACUAAACUAAAAAAAAUUGGCGGCUUAAUUAAUCUCUUAGAGGAGUUUAUUCUAUAAUGGAUUCAACACCUAAACCUUACUAAAUUUUGUAUAAUUAACAAUUUGUAUACCUCUAUAAAUAAAAUAAACAAUUUUAUUAACCUGUCCACCAAAGAAACCAAAUUAAGUCAAGGUGCUAUUAAUAAUUUAGGAUGAAAUAAACUAUAUUAGUUAUAUCUUAACCUCAUAAUUAUUAAACAUAAUUAAUAUUAAGAAAAAUUUAAAAGUAAAUUUUAUUUAUAAAGUAAAAUUGAAUAUAAAAUUUUAAGUGUACAUAUUGCCCGUCACUCUUUCGUACAAAAGAUAAGUCGAAACAUAGU